RNAcentral lists this ribosomal RNA (376 nucleotides) under uncultured bacterium. Its description in RNAcentral is "bacterial SSU rRNA". It matches the Rfam family "Bacterial small subunit ribosomal RNA", at positions 524 to 898 of the family's 1533-position model. The record is from RNAcentral.
UACGUAGGGGGCGAGCGUUGUCCGAAUUCACUGGGCGUAAAGCGCGCGUAGGCGGACUUUUAAGUCAGAGGUGAAAUGCCGAGGCUCAACCUCGGAACUGCCUUUGAAACUGGGAGUCUUGAGGUAUGGAGAGGGAAGUGGAAUUCCUGGUGUAGCGGUGAAAUGCGUAGAUAUCAGGAGGAACACCCGUGGCGAAGGCGGCUUCCUGGCCAUAUCCUGACGCUGAGGUGCGAAAGCUAGGGGAGCGAACGGGAUUAGAUACCCCGGUAGUCCUAGCCGUAAACGAUGGAUACUAGGUGUUAGUGGUAUCGACCCCACUAGUGCCGCAGCUAACGCAUUAAGUAUCCCGCCUGGGGAGUACGACCGCAAGGUUGAA